AGUGGUGGUUGGUGGCUGCCAGCAACUGUGGUUGUGGUUGGUGGGGUGUUGAUGCUGGAGUGUUGAAAAUGAGAAUGAUUGGGCAGUAGGUUAAUGGUGAGGCUGCUGGGAUGGAAGCUGACAAAUAAUUAGUUAGUAGGUUUUUGUUUUGAGUGCCAAGGUGUGAGAGUUGGAGGCAGUCCUUGUACAGGGGUGUUGCAG
This is a long non-coding RNA of Ipomoea triloba (trilobed morning glory), 201 nucleotides long. RefSeq lists it as uncharacterized. The record is from RefSeq and is a predicted model, not a curated record. The transcript is spliced from 3 exons. NCBI's taxonomy places the organism in Eukaryota, Viridiplantae, Streptophyta, Magnoliopsida, Solanales, Convolvulaceae.